AAUCCAUGUUGUGGGCACUUCCGCAAAAGAUCCUUGAAUCGCUCCCAUGUCUCAAAUAAGGACUCGAGCUCCAUGUGACAAACGAUGAUUUCUCAUUGUGAUGCU
Molecule: small nucleolar RNA, 105 nt
Organism: Dioscorea cayenensis subsp. rotundata (Guinea yam)
Lineage: Eukaryota; Viridiplantae; Streptophyta; Magnoliopsida; Dioscoreales; Dioscoreaceae
Source: RefSeq, a predicted model, not a curated record